Molecule: ribosomal RNA, 253 nt
Filed under: uncultured bacterium
Lineage: Bacteria
Description: partial 16S ribosomal RNA
Rfam family: Bacterial small subunit ribosomal RNA
Source: RNAcentral
UACGUAGGUGGCAAGCGUUGUCCGGAAUUAUUGGGCGUAAAGCGCGCGCAGGCGGUUCCUUAAGUCUGAUGUGAAAGCCCACGGCUCAACCGUGGAGGGUCAUUGGAAACUGGGGAACUUGAAUACAGGAGAGGAAAGUGGAAUUCCCCGUGUAGCGGUGAAAUGCGUAGAGAUGUGGAGGAACACCAGUGGCGAAGGCGACUUUCUGGCCUGAUAUUGACGCUGAGGCGAGAAAGCGUGGGGAGCAAACAGG